UGAAUACGAGACGCUAAGGCGUCGAAGUAGUGUAUGUCAUACUUCCAAGAAAAGCUUGCACUGUCAUAGAUAAAAAACGCCUGUACCAUAACCGACACAGGUGUGUAGGUAGAGUAUACUAAGGGGCGCGAGAUAACUCUCUCUAAGGAACUCGGCAAAAUAACUCCGUAACUUCGGGAGAAGGAGUGCCUUAUUAUUAAGGCUGCAAUAACAAGAUCCAAGCAACUGUUUAUCAAAAACACAGGUCUCCGCUAAGUCGUAAGACGAUGUAUGGGGGCUGACGCCUGCCCAGUGCCAGAAGGUUAAAGAAGUUGGUUAGCAUUUGCGAAGCUGAUAACUGAAGCCCUGGUGAACGGCGGCCGUAACAAUAACGGUCCUAAGGUAGCGAAAUUUCUUGUCGGGUAAGUUCCGACCCGCACGAAAGGCGUAAUGAUUUGGAUACUGUCUCGGAGAGGGGCUCGGUGAAAUAGACUUGUCUGUGAAGAUGCGGACUACCUGCACCAGGACAGAAAGACCCUAUGAAGCUUUACUGUAACUUGAAAUUGAAAUUGGACUUUAUUCGCGCAGCAUAGGUGGGAGGCGUUGAUUAUAAUCUUGUGGGAUUAUUGGAGCCAUCAGUGAGAUACCACUCUUGUAAUGUUAGAUUUCUAACUUUGAAUCAUUAUCUGGUCAAAGAACAGUUUCAGGCGGGCAGUUUGACUGGGGCGGUCGCCUCCUAAACGGUAACGGAGGCGUACAAAGGUUUCCUCUGAACGGUUAGAAAUCGUAUCUAGAGUGUAAAGGCAUAAGGAAGCUUGACUGUGAGACCUACAAGUCGAGCAGGGACGAAAGUCGGUCUUAGUGAUCUGACGGUACUGAGUGGAAAGGCCGUCACUCAACGGAUAAAAGUUACUCUAGGAUAACAGGCUGAUCUCCCCCAAGAGUUCACAUCGACGGGGAGGUUUGGCACCUCGAUGUCGGCUCAUCGCAUCCUGGGGCGGUAGUACGUCCCAAGGGUUGGGCUGUUCGCCCAUGAAAGCGGUACGCGAGCUGGGUUCAGAACGUCGUGAGACAGUUCGGUCCAUAUCCGGUGUAGGCGUUAGAAUAUUGAGAGGAGCCUUCUUUAGUACGAGAGGACCGAGAAGGACAUACCUCUGGUGUACCAGUUAUCGUGCCAACGGUAAACGCUGGGUAGCUAUGUAUGGAGUGGAUAACCGCUGAAAGCAUCUAAGUGGGAAGCCCACCUCAAGAUAAGUAUUCUCC
Molecule: ribosomal RNA, 1242 nt
Filed under: metagenome
Description: bacterial LSU rRNA
Rfam family: Bacterial large subunit ribosomal RNA
Source: RNAcentral